Molecule: long non-coding RNA, 565 nt
Organism: Drosophila subobscura
Lineage: Eukaryota; Metazoa; Arthropoda; Insecta; Diptera; Drosophilidae
Exons: 2
Source: RefSeq, a predicted model, not a curated record
AAAAAAUAUCGUUGCGCGACUCGUGUUCUGCCAGCUGCUUUCAAAAUUGCAAUACAUUUGAUAAACAAACCAAUAAACACAUUCAGCGGGAUGUAACUAAUUAGAAGUGGCAUCUAAGAUGACUGGAAAGCCGUCCAUGGCUUAUUGAGCGCCUUUGAGAAGAUCUUCGUGGGGCCAAGCGCAUUCAGGGCAGAUUGGACAUCAGAUGCAGAAGCAAUGAAGCUGCGGGAGCGCUGUUCAAUCAACGACAUCCAAAAAGCUAUCAUUGGGCAUGGCUCAAGCACAGAGAGAUUCGAAGUUUCUGGUCUCAGAGCCAGCAAAUGUUCGACAUGGCAAACAGACAAUAUAUCUGCUGAUGUGAUUAUCAUAUAGUAUACAUAGAUAUACGAGUAUUGUAUAUUUAGAUAUAUGUAGAUAUAAAACGUCCAACGUUCCGAAUGUGUGCUAAAGUUAAUGCGUUAAUAAACGUAUGUAAAUAUGUAAUUAAGUAUGAUGGCCACCCAUGAACGAUGUACGAUUUACGUUUUACGAUUUACGAUUUAUAUAUAUGGUACGUAUAGUAUAG